AACUUUGCAAUUCUGACUUUAGAUUCGGAUUCAGCGGGUCGAAAUACAUAAGGAUUGACUAGUCUAGUCCGCCGGACCAACCACUUUUUUUUGUGUGUGCCUGUGUUAUUACUAUCUUGUACAUUAACCACGUUAACUAUUAAUAUUAAAUAUUACAUUUUAUUACAAUUAUAAAUUUACAUAAAUUUAAUAAUUAAUGAUUAUAUAAUUUUCCAAUUACAGCAGUGGAAGGAUUUACUUGCAAACACUGCAGUGCACAUAUUAUUUCAGCUUCUAUUAUUUAUCAAAUGUUAAACAAAUAAAAUAAUUCAUUGUGAAGCACUGUAUCUUUUAUUUAAUAAGACUUAUUAGAAAAUGCUCAAUUCAUAAAAAAAAAUUUUAAUUUAUACCACAAAUCUUUUGGUAAUUACUGCUCUGCUCUCUGGCGGUAAAAUAAAGUUGAACAACGUUCCAGCUACAACUCGACAUUGUGUAACACUGUGUUAUACAGUGACGGCACAAUGUUUCAUAGCUGGAAAGCACCCUUUGUAAAUUUAUAGGCUUUGGUAUUAUGAUUAUGGGUUAACGGUUUUAUUUAUCUAGGUUUUGCGAAUUAAAAGUAAUCUUAGCGUGUAAGGUAUUUUCGGUUAAUUUUUGAGAUUAGGUACAUGUAUAUGAAUUUUGCCGCAAUGCCUCGUUAUAGUGGAUUAUCUAACAUGCAUAAAAAAAAAAAAAAAAAUACGUCGGAUUAGAUUUAAAAAUUGAACUGUGGAGCGAUUUUUGUUCAAAAAGCCACACUGUGCGGUAUGGUAACGCUAGAGACAUAACAAUAUCAAUUCAAUAGCGACAUAUUAUGACGUGUCAAAAUAAAUUCAUAAUUAUAUUCACAUUUGUACCGUAUAAUAAACAUUUUUUAUGUAAUUACUAGAUCCAUAGAUAUUUUUGACGUAAAAAUAAUUAAAAAUGUUGACACAGUGAGUCGUGCUAUAGCUCGAACGGCUUGGCAUGCUCUCAUUCCUACAAUUAAAAAAAUUAAUCUCUCGGUUAUCAAUGGAAAUAUCCAAAAACUAUAGUAGAUUUUUACAUUCAUCUUGAUCCCGUCUAUCUUCCUAUUAAUGAAUGGACAAUGUUCGCAUUUCUCCCUGUAUAUGAAUUUAUUUUGAUGUCAUAUGUCAUUACAUGUCAUAUCAUCAAUAUUGAAUUGAUAUUUUGUAAUGAUAUUAAUUUGCAUAUGUAAUGUACAAAUAGUGAUUUUAUAGUAAAAGUAGAAAUUUCUUAACCGCUUUGGGCACGCGCAAUUUUUUAUGAGAAGGAAAAAAAGUUAAAAGUGAUCAUAUUUGAAAGACUUACUAGAGAGUUUUCAAAUCCCUCAAUACGAAUGAGAUUUAAAAAUUUAUAAUUAAAAAUGGCGGAUUCAAUAUAGCGAUUAAAAAAUAAAAAUCUAUCGUUAUGAAGCACUUUUCGUAGGGAAAAAUUGAUUUCAUAUAAAUUGGCUCAUACUUUGGCAAAAGAUAGCUGAAGGCAUGCUGAUUAAAAGUUGUAAUUGCUAAGUCAAUCCUAUUAAUCCGAAGGCUUGCGACAGAAAUUUUCGGCCAAUUUCAUCAUCUUUUAUUUUAAGUCUUACUACUAUUUGAAUAUUAUAAAUAGCGAAAGUAUAGGUCUGGCAGGGUACGCGCGGUUCAGAGCUUAACAGGAAUGAAUGAAAGAUGUAAAAAAUGAAAGUAUUAUUGACUAAUAUCAGUAUUGCUGAAAUUUUUUUUACUAAUAAUGUAUAGAAUAAAAAACCUAAGAAAGUCGGUCUGGCAGUUUACAAAGUCUGCGGUUUAAAGUGGGUCUGGCACUUAAACAAACAUAUCAAAAAAAUUAUAUAUUUUGACUUAAAUUAUUAUUCUUAAAACUUUUUGUAUAAAUAAUUUAUAUUAUAAAAUAUUGAAAACAAGUCUGGCAGUCUUUUAAUAGGACAAAUGUGAUCUGGCAGCCGUUUGAAAGGAUAAAGACGUUGGCACGCCACGCGAGCCAGAAUGCUUUAUUAAUUAGAGAAGAAAACUCGGAAAAAAAUGCUGGAAAAAAUUAUGGCGAGAAAAACACUUUUAUUACAAUUAUUAAUUAAUUCUGCUGAAAAGAAUAUAAACGCGUCAAAUCCUGGUUUUAGGUACAGUGAGACUCUCAAGUUAUUUUUGACAUAUAUAUUUAUGCUUGGAGGAAGAUUACUAUACGAAACACUGUAUAAAAAUUUUCAAUUACCUUCUCCUACGUCUAUAAGCAGAUACUUGUAAGAGAAUGGGCAAAAAAUUGUUGAGGGAGAAUUACGUUGUGAUUAAUUGAAAUCUUACUUACGUGAAAGAAACUUGUCUCCUGUUAUACGGAUCUCGAAGGAUGCUACAAGAAUAACUGAACAUCGUCACACGCUGGAAAUUCAUUCUUAAAGAACUAGCUAAAUCUGGAAUAACUGUACUCAGAUUUUCGUCAGAUGGAGAUUCUCGUUUAUUAAAAGCAAUGCACACGGAAAUACAUUUGGGAGUUUCACAGGUGUGCAAUACCUCAAACUCGGAUUUGACAUCAAAUUGGCCGUGGUUCAAUGUUAUAUAUACCGACUGGUUUUGUACAAGAUACCAUAUACAUAGCUACAAAAUUAAAAACAUGUUAUUGAAACCCUCUAUUUUGUUACCAUUUGGAAACAAAGUUAUUUCAGUAAGUCAUUUAAAAAUAACUGAUAAAUAUUAUGUCCAAGGACAAACAUUUGUUAUCUUUGUCUGAUAUUGAACCUAAAGACUAAAAAUGAAUUUUGAAUCUGCUAACAAAAUAUCACAAGAAAAUGUUCGGAAAUUAUUACUUAAUUAUAUUCCUGAUUCUGAAGGUACCGUGCUAUAUUAAAAAAUAUUAAAUUAUAUAAUACUGUCAUAUACUGAUCUUUAUUUAACACCUUUAGAAAGACUUUUUAAAUUAUGGUAUUGUGUGUUUAUAAUACGAAUAUGGCGCAACUCUGUAAAAGGUAAUCAAAAGUAUACUUUAAAAGAUAACUUUUUAAGUUUAAAUUGUUAUGUCUGUAUUGAAAUCAAUGCACAUAGUAUGAUAAAUAUAAUACAAAAGUUAAGAGUUUGCAAUAUGCCAUAUCUGUUCAUGCCGCCAUUGUUUAGUAGUCAAUCCUGAGGCAUUUUUUCGUCAUAUUAGAUCUAUAUCCACUACGUACUCUACUAUUGUAAAUUGUAGUUUACUUGAUGUCAUACAUAGAAUUAAGAGAAUACAAUUACAAAGUGAUAUCUUACCCAGCGAAUUAAAUAAAAACAUUAAUUUCCCGAGAAUAGAACAUAAAGUGAAAACAAUACAAGUUCAAACUAAUUUACCAAUUAAUGACGAUAUUUACAUCGUCAUUAGUUGAUAAAUUAGUUUGAACAACUAUCGAACAAGCUAGGAAUAAAGCAAUCACUAAUGCUCACAAGUUUGAUCUAGAGCUGGGAGAACUAAAUUGCAAUUUACCUUUAGUUGAUGAAUCCAAAAAUGAUGAAAAUCGAGAUAAGAAUGAUAUUUUGUAUGACUGUAUAGACGGCAUUGGAGAAAAUAAUACGGUUGCAUCAGCUUUUAUUCAAGCUUUUAUUUCUAAAAAUAUGGAACAAGAUGACGAUGUUCCAACAGAAGAUAUCCUUGAAGAUGUAUCCACUUUAUCAUACGUGUCUAACGAUUAUCUUAAUAUGAAAAAUUAUGGUGAAACAACUCUUGCACUAAGUAAAACAAGUCCAUUUACUAUUAUGGCAGAUGCGCAUGGUAAAGAAAUAAUUGUUAGAAAAUUGUUUAUCCAUUGGCUUCUUAAUAAAAAUUAUGGUCACCUCAAUCGUGAUCGUUUACAGCGUGUAAUGGAAAAAGAAUUUUCCUCUAAAUCAAAAUCUACUUUAAGAUCAAAUCUAACACCAUCUUGUAGGAUUUGUAAUGACAACUGUCGGUGAGUGAUACCUGUUUCGACAGACCGAAAACAAUGUAAUACUUUUGGAUGUGAUUUUAAGUUUUUCUUACCUUCACGGUAAAAGUCCGUACGCGGGAAUUGUACUUCGUGUGGAUUUGCGCGGCGCUAGUUAUCGGGAGAGGUUUUCCCGCGAAGCGUCGAGGAUAGGCGCGGAUCCGAAUUUCUGUGUCGGUCGCGGUGGGGUACGCCGAGCCGUGACGUGUAGCAAAUUUGCGAGGGCCUGGUGAGAGGCGGAAUAGGGAUGACAGAAUCGUCACGUUAACGGGCCGAGACGCUUGGCGGGGAGCAAGUCACUUGUUUCCCUGGGCGGUCAACGGGGCGUAGGAAAAAUUUGCCUGGUCCGUAUACUGGCUGUCAAGAACGCUCGGUGGGGGAGAAAAUGCUUUACCUCACGGUUGCCAGGUAACGGAUGGCAGGAGAGAGUAAUGGGCUAGGAUAGCGGUGAUGGCUGCCAAGAACGCUUGGUCGAGGACGCUUGGGCGAAGACGCUUUACACCGUUUUCUCGCUGGUUCACCUAGGUUGAAAUCUUCUAUCGGAAGCUCGGGACGAGAGAUUUGUUUGUCGAGUGGAUGACAGAAGUCGUCGUUUCCACCGGCUUUUAUACCGUGGAGGCGCUACUUCGGAGUUGUUUGCCCAGAGUUCGGGUGUUUCCGUCCGCCACGGUUCCCCCGCUCUCGGGGACGUCGAAGCGCGUGUGCGGCGAUGCGGCAAGUCGUCGAGCGCUCUCUUACUGUGGCCUUCGGCGUGGCCGUUGGAAUUGUUUAAAAUUGGGAGCUGGUGACUCGCGCCUUUCCGCUCUUAGAUCUUAUAGUGAUCGGCGGCUCCCUUCGCCGAGGAAUAAUGGCCCUAGGGUGAGUGCAUCGUUACAAGGUACGAUAAGUUAAGUUUUCUAAUUAAGUUUUCUAAAGGAAAAAA
This 4853-nucleotide long non-coding RNA is filed under the name Monomorium pharaonis (pharaoh ant). RNAcentral describes it as "uncharacterized LOC118646972". The record is from RNAcentral. Lineage: Eukaryota; Metazoa; Arthropoda; Insecta; Hymenoptera; Formicidae.